Molecule: transfer RNA, 77 nt
Filed under: Escherichia coli
Lineage: Bacteria; Pseudomonadati; Pseudomonadota; Gammaproteobacteria; Enterobacterales; Enterobacteriaceae
Also listed under: 2 other names
Description: tRNA-Lys(ttt)
Rfam family: tRNA
About the family: Transfer RNA (tRNA) molecules are approximately 80 nucleotides in length. Their secondary structure includes four short double-helical elements and three loops (D, anti-codon, and T loops).
Source: RNAcentral
GGGUCGUUAGCUCAGUUGGUAGAGCAGUUGACUUUUAAUCAAUUGGUCGCAGGUUCGAAUCCCUGCACGACCCACCA